UAUCUUCUGCGGUGUUGGUUAUCUGGUCGGGUAUAUCCCUUGAGCCUAAUUUAUAACCCCGGGGAUGAUCUGGUCGCUGUUGUUGUGCACGUCCGCUACGGCGGAAAGCCUGAUACGGUUCCAGUUGUCCCCACCUGAACCGCCCGGUUCAAGGUAGCACACCGGAGACGGCACCGUGGUUGAUAC
Molecule: non-coding RNA, 186 nt
Filed under: Granulosicoccus sp.
Lineage: Bacteria; Pseudomonadati; Pseudomonadota; Gammaproteobacteria; Chromatiales; Granulosicoccaceae
Description: 6S RNA
Rfam family: 6S / SsrS RNA
About the family: E. coli 6S RNA was the first non coding RNA to be sequenced, but its function was unknown until recently. It consists of 184 nucleotides that fold into an extended hairpin structure with a large single-stranded internal bulge.
Source: RNAcentral